This is a long non-coding RNA of Sapajus apella (tufted capuchin), 2791 nucleotides long. RefSeq lists it as uncharacterized. The transcript has 4 exons. The record is from RefSeq and is a predicted model, not a curated record. NCBI's taxonomy places the organism in Eukaryota, Metazoa, Chordata, Mammalia, Primates, Cebidae.
GUAACUUUUCCAAGAUCACUGUAAUUUUGUCAGGGGCAGGGUGGGGACAUCGAGAGAUGCCUUUUAAAGCAGCUGGUUUGAAUCUUUGGGGUCCCUGUUGCCAAAGUCUGUCCCUUUCUUGCUGUGUGUUGUUGUGCAAUAGCCUCCCCUCAGUCCCACACCCAGACACCAGCUGGGCAUGGGGAGGAGUGCAAAGAGGGUGGGGAGCAUGAAUCCAGGCCAAGGGGGUGUCAAAUAACAAAACCAAGUGACCCAACCACUGCAUCAUAGAAAAGAACAUUUUGAACUUCCGUUAACACGACUGAACAGUAUACAUCAUUUAAAAAGAAGUAUUUCAAUGAACUUGCUAUCAGGCUAAUGUUUGUUUGACUGUUAUGGCAUUGCUUCCCUUCCUAUUAUUUCCAAACUUAUUUAUUUUAGUAGUAUAUGUUUGCCAUUUUAUAAGCUAGGCACUUAUUUAUCUGAGACUGUUAUCUGAGUGCUAAUAGAGAUUCCUGAUCAUUGUAGAUGAUCAAUAAAUGUUUCAUGAUGAUGAUGAUGAUGAUGGUAAGUUUCAUGAAAUAUUUUCUAAUUCCAUGUGAUUAUGAUGAAAAUUUCCCUAUUUAGUAUUGCUUAGGGAGUGGACUUCGAGAACCAUAUUACUGCAAUGACCAUACCUGAGACUUGUGGUUGAAUUAUUAGAAUAGAUACAUGCCCUUUAUUAAUCGAAUAUUUACAACUUGAACCAAAACUAACAAAGGAUUAUUUUAGCUUUGUAAAGAUCCAUUUAUCUAAUUUCUGAUUGAUUUCAACAUGUAUAAUAUCCUUUUCACUCUUUCUCACCUCAAAUCCUGCAGCAAGCAAAAAUAAUCAUUGAAAUGUAACUUAACCAUCAAAGAAAAAAUAUAUCAUUUUUGUAACAAUUUAUAGUUUUCAUAAUAUGAGUCUCCAAUUCCAGUAUGUUUUAUAAAGACUUACAAGAUUUAUAAUAUUGGUGUUUUUUAAAGUUAAACACAUUGUUAUCAUUGACUACUUACAUCUGGCCACAUGCAGUUUCAUUUAUAGGCUUUAUAUGAUGAUCUCAAAAUUCUAAAGUAUAAACCAGAGUAUGUAUCAAAAUAACAACAAAUGGACAGGAAAAUCUUUAUAUGCCUUACAAAUCCAAGUCAAAUAGUAAUAAUACUAUCUACACUCUUCUCUGUCUAGUACUUUGAAAUUUGUUAAAUAGAUAUUUUGAGUUUCAGGGACAGUCUCAAUUUCACAUCAUUUAUUCUCAUAACUAAAUCAAACUUAUUAACUGUAGUUUUAUAAAAUGUUAAUAUAAUUGAAUUUUUAACUUACAAAAAAUACCUUGUUAUACAGUGUCUCCACUCGUCAGUUUAGAAAAGAUGAUCAAUAUAUCAAAAAGCCAUUUGCAAAACAAUUCUAAUUUCAUUUUAAUCUCCAAGAUAAUGAUUCUGUUUUCCUCCUCAGAUCUCUGGAUCUUAUUCUCUGCCUCUCAAACACAUUGCAGAGAAGAAUAUACACACAGAAGAUGAUGGGAGCAAACUCAGAGUCUGCAAUUCCAACUACUGGAGUCAAAGAGUAGCUGAAAAGAUCUCUGGGAAGAGCCAUGGAAUCAGGAUCCUGGAGAAAUAGUACAGGAGCUGUGCCUCGGUUCCUGGAUGAAUUGAGCAUUUGUUGCCCUGGAAAAAGAAUCCAUCCUGUGGGGAUGUCAAUGGCAGCUGAAUGAAGACCAGAAAGGAUGAAGAAUUGCAGAUCGAGCCCUGGCCCCAGUUGGAUGGCAUUUCAACCAAGCGUGGAGAUUUUAAUGCCAAUCACUAUUGAGAACCAUUGCAGUCUAUAUUUAAAAAUGGAUAUCAUCAUCAAUAAGGGGUUCUGAUAUAAACAAGAUAAAGCUGAAAAAUCUAAGAAUGAAGAAAGGUACAGAAGCCACCCUGCCCCAGACUAAUGAAGGCUAAAUAAUUCCGCAUGGGGCAUCUGGAAAAAGUGAGAGAGAGAGAGACAGGGCAUUGUUCAGAACCAGAUACUCAGAGACAGUGUCUUAAAGGUGAGGACAACAGAGUUAGACUUUCUCUGACUCUGACUUACAGUGGCAAGGCAUACAUGGCCAGUUCUCUACAAUGGAGACAGCACCCAGAGAGAAAGAUUCCAGAACCAAGUGAAAUAGAGUGGGACAUUUACUGAAGAAUAGAAAAUCAAAACUAGGGAAGCAGAGACAAGACAAGGACCCAGUGGUGAGAAAAAAGGCCAAAAAGGUAAGGAAUCAGGUCGAUGGAAGAAGUGACUCAGGACUGAGGUGUAAAUGAUGAGGGUUUGAUCAUGCUUUGUAUGUGUUCUAGGAGUGGUUGUUGCCACUUAAAAAUAGAUACAAUUUAUGCAAAAAAAUCUAGAAUCAGAAUCAAGGCAACAAAUCUGCUGCAAUGGCUUAGUGCAAGCAGCAACAAAGAUGAACAGAACAUCUAUUUCUAUCGAAGACCUUGGUCUUCCGAAUAGCUGCUCUUGAGACUCGUGUCCUAGGUAUCAGCAGUGGCAAUUAAUGGAGGCAACAUGGAAUAAGCAACAAGUUUUCCAGUAAGUGGACACUGUAGCCUCAGGAGUUAGAUGCUGAGUCAGAAGGAUGAAGUCACUCCACCGGAAUCACCAUACCCAAGUCUAGACCUCAGCAAUACCAUGAAGUUCUUUUGAUGAAGAAAAGGGACAUGAUUUGUUGGUUGUUAUUCCUAUUGUUACAUGGUCAUGUUAGUUAUCUAUUGCAGCAUAAUAAAUAACCGCCAAAGCUUUGUACUUAAAAUAAAAAACAUUUAUCAUG